Molecule: unclassified non-coding RNA, 321 nt
Filed under: Antarctobacter heliothermus
Lineage: Bacteria; Pseudomonadati; Pseudomonadota; Alphaproteobacteria; Rhodobacterales; Roseobacteraceae
Description: Long range pseudoknot
Source: RNAcentral
ACGGACAUUCACGACUACGAGGUCAAGAUGCGCAACGUGUUCAAGUUCCUUGAGAACGGCGACAAGGUAAAGGUCACGCUGCGGUUCCGCGGCCGCGAGAUGGCGCACCAGAACCUGGGCCGCGAGUUGCUUGAACGGGUUGCCGAAGACGUCAAGGAAAUCGGCAAGGUCGAGAACAUGCCGAGAAUGGAAGGCCGCCAGAUGGUCAUGAUGAUCGGCCCGACCGCCAAGUGACCCUUUCUGUGAUCGUUUCAGUGAUCCAGUCCAAGCCCGCCGCUUCAGGCGGGCUUUUUCCUUUCCGAACAGGUUUUGACAGGCCGC